RNAcentral lists this ribosomal RNA (236 nucleotides) under uncultured soil bacterium. RNAcentral describes it as "partial 16S ribosomal RNA". It matches the Rfam family "Bacterial small subunit ribosomal RNA", at positions 26 to 264 of the family's 1533-position model. The record is from RNAcentral.
AGAUUGAACGCUGGCGGCAUGCCUUACACAUGCAAGUCGAACGGCAGCACGGGAGCAAUCCUGGUGGCGAGUGGCGAACGGGUGAGUAAUAUAUCGGAACGUGCCCAGUCGUGGGGGAUAACGCAGCGAAAGCUGUGCUAAUACCGCAUACGAUCUAUGGAUGAAAGCGGGGGAUCGCAAGACCUCGCGCGAUUGGAGCGGCCGAUAUCAGAUUAGCUAGUUGGUAGGGUAAAGCC